This 253-nucleotide unclassified non-coding RNA is filed under the name uncultured Dehalococcoidia bacterium. RNAcentral's name for it is "contains 16S-23S intergenic spacer region". It matches the Rfam family "Bacterial small subunit ribosomal RNA", at positions 524 to 776 of the family's 1533-position model. The record is from RNAcentral. Lineage: Bacteria; Bacillati; Chloroflexota; Dehalococcoidia.
UACGUAGGAGGCAAGCGUUGUCCGGAUUUACUGGGCGUAAAGGGCGCGCAGGCGGUUGGGUCCGUCGGUGGUGCAAGCUCCAGGCUUAACUUGGAGAGGUCCAUCGAUACCACCCGGCUUGAGAACGGUAGAGGAGUGCGGAAUUCCUGGUGUAGUGGUGAAAUGCGUAGAUAUCAGGAGGAACACCCGUGGCGAAAGCGGCACUCUGGACCGAUUCUGACGCUGAGGCGCGAAAGCGUGGGGAGCAAACCGG